UAGAUAGAGGUUGCGUUUUUCAUGAGUACAUUACCGGAUUGUGGUCAGGCACGUAAGAAGGUAUGGAAAGGGACGAACGCCGAAGGGGCAGAUUUCCUGAUGAUUUGUUGCCUGGGCAUAUAAUUAAUAGUUAUAUGACUGUCAUCGUAAAAGAUGGGGCGCUAUCC
Molecule: non-coding RNA, 167 nt
Filed under: human gut metagenome
Description: Lysine riboswitch
Rfam family: Lysine riboswitch aptamer
About the family: Riboswitches are metabolite binding domains within certain messenger RNAs that serve as precision sensors for their corresponding targets. Allosteric rearrangement of mRNA structure is mediated by ligand binding, and this results in modulation of gene expression.
Source: RNAcentral